Tyto alba (common barn owl) is the source of this 2485-nucleotide long non-coding RNA. RefSeq lists it as uncharacterized. The transcript has 3 exons. Lineage: Eukaryota; Metazoa; Chordata; Aves; Strigiformes; Tytonidae. The record is from RefSeq and is a predicted model, not a curated record.
UUAAAAGAAAAAAUAUCUUGCUGCUCUCUUAGGAGUACUGAAAAUCUCCCUGCUCCUCCUGCUCUGUGGCAGAAGAUACUGCAUUAAGAUCUGUACAAGGCUUUGACAUAAGCUUUUGAACUUCCUGCAAGGCUUGUUAUGGCAAAUUGAGAUUGAUGACAAAGUGCAACAUUUUGAAAUUAUUAAAGGCAGAAAACUCCCUCUGAACUCUGUGUGUGUUGGAAACAGGCUCAUAAGCAUCUUGCUUCAUUCUACUCCAGCAUCAUCAUCACCUCUUGAUUGAGGCGUGGAUUUUCAUUCUGUCCUUGCUGAUUAAGACCAGUGAAUCAUUCUCGGCAGAAGUUAAGCUAAAAUAUUUAUUGGUGUAAGUCUUUUUGUGCCACCUGUCUUCAAGUAAGUGGCUUCUUAUUGCUGUUAAACCUUCUAGGAUAUGAAGUUUCUGUAGGUGACCUUCUCCAGGACUCCUCAGCCUUACCAACCUCUUUUCCAUCUACACUCAAAUGGUUGACCCACCACCAAAGCUCGGAGGGGCCAAACCUCCCAAGAUCAUCUUCCCAGCCACUCUGUGUGGUGACACCUUGGCAUCAUACAUGGAGAAGCUGUUUACAGGAGCCCUUAUGGCUGCCCAGAGACCUCCACCAUGUCCCAGUUAUCCUGCUGUCUCGUCGCUGCCUACGACCCAGACAACUGAUGGCUGGCUCAGUGCCACGCUGCUGACUCAGCAGGUUCCCACCCAGUACCGCCCAUACAGCGACCAUGGCCACAGCAAACGUAUUCAGCCAGCAGCAGCACGAGCCGAUGUGCUUGCUGGUUAAUAUGCAAGGGAAAGGAGUCACAGAUAAACUCAUUGCACACAUCCAUUACGUGAGAGAAGCAUCAAUAUUUCUGCAAAUCCAACAGGGAAUUUAUUCAUCUCAGCCUCCAGCAAUGGUGAAUUAUCCUGGUGACUGGUGCAAUUUGGAAGCAUAUACAACCAUAAUGAGGAAGUACCGUGGCUUCCCUUGAAGUAAUAGAGUGGUUAUUGCUGAUAGUUACUGCCUUUGUGAAGUAUUAACGCAUGGUUAUAGUGCAGUCAUGUAGCAAAAUUAUAGGGGCCUGUAGACUGUUACUUAGCAACACUUGCUAAUGUUGAGGUGGUAAUGAAGAAAUGGAGUAAAAGAAAUACAGAGUAUAUUGGAGUCAUAAAGUAAACUGUGGUGUGACUUGAGAAAGCUGUUCCGAAGAUAAAGAUGUUGUCUGUUUCUCCUUCUGCUAUAUGAAUAUGGUAGAAGAACUUAAGAGCUGAUUUGAAGCAACACAUUUGAAAUAUCUGAGUAACAGAAAUAAGGAUUACGAUAUUUUUUUUUCAUCAUUGUUGCUGCCUGAGAAAAGCAUCAGAAUUGCUGGGCUUUUGAAGAUACUCUCCUUGUCAUUUCAAACCCAUCCUGAGGCACUAGCUGGCCAAUUAAAAUAAUCUUUCCUUUGGAGAGCUAGCAUUUGUCAGAGUUAAGAAUGAAGGCUUCUUUCUACUACAUCUAUUUUCCCCAUUCAUUCAUUUACAUAACUCCCUUCACUGUUAAUCAAGUGCCUGCAGGCAUAUCUCAAGAAAAAGGUAAGGCCAUAAAAAUAAAGGCAGACAUUUCUAGUUAUAGAUGAACCUUCCACAUGUUGCAGAUCUGUCUCAGACACUUAUCUUGGUUUAUCUCCACCUGUUUAAAUUGGAAAAUUCACAAAAAUCCAUCUCCCAUGAGAUUUCCAAGAUUUCUUGAUUUCAUUUGGGUCAGAACUGCCACAAGAGAUACAUUUCUCAGAGUACUUCUGAGCUGCUGCCAGGAACAGGGAGUGCUGGACUGUGCCACUUUAAAAAAAAAAAAAAAAAAAAAAAAGUUUUCUUUGAAAAGUCACCAAAUUUUAUAAGCUUUUAAAAAAAGAAUUGGCCUAGUUCAGUCUCGGGUAUGAUUAAAAGAGCUGCACUGAUUUAUUGGUGUCAAACAAAGUAUGUUUGGGUACAACAUUAUUUUGUAAUGGAAAAAGUAUCAGUGGAUGCACUGCCUAUCAGCACUGCUUGGACUGGAUGAGGACCGAGCCUUAAGUUAUAAGAGUCUUUAAUACUGGAGAAAAGGAAGACUGAUAAAAAUAUUGUAACUAGAAGGCCAUCUCUUAGUCUCUCAGAUAAAGGUAGCAGUGAAGUCAACCUCAACAACAUCUGUGGUUCUGCUGAUUAAAUAAUGGAUGAUAUUUGCCUGCUUUGCACCUCACUCUGGCCCUGCAAAGCAAAUGGAAACAUUUUCUCAUUCCUAUCCCACCAGGAGUGCAGAUCUAUGAAUAUGGAGUGAUGAUUUGGGGAAUGUUUCACAGGAGAAACUGUAUACAUUAAUUUAAUAAAAAAAAUAAUAUUCUACAGUUGGUAACAGAGUUGCUUCCUGCUGGCCUUUAAUUUUGCACUUUUUCUUUUGUCCUUGUAAAUGACAAAGUAAUAUUAUUUUGACUAAGUUCUUGUUCUUGC